RNAcentral lists this ribosomal RNA (452 nucleotides) under uncultured bacterium. RNAcentral's name for it is "partial 16S ribosomal RNA". It matches the Rfam family "Bacterial small subunit ribosomal RNA", at positions 28 to 507 of the family's 1533-position model. The record is from RNAcentral.
GAUGAACGCUGGCGGCGUGCCUAACACAUGCAAGUCGAGCGAUUUACUUCGGUAAAGAGCGGCGGACGGGUGAGUAACGCGUGGGUAACCUGCCCUGUACACACGGAUAACAUACCGAAAGGUAUGCUAAUACGAGAUAAUAUGCUUUUAUCGCAUGGUAGAAGUAUCAAAGCUUUGGCGGUACAGGAUGGACCCGCGUCUGAUUAGCUAGUUGGUGAGGUAACGGCUCACCAAGGCGACGAUCAGUAGCCGACCUGAGAGGGUGAUCGGCCACAUUGGAACUGAGACACGGUCCAAACUCCUACGGGAGGCAGCAGUGGGGAAUAUUGCACAAUGGGCGAAAGCCUGAUGCAGCAACGCCGCGUGAGCGAUGAAGGCCUUCGGGUCGUAAAGCUCUGUCCUCAAGGAAGAUAAUGACGGUACUUGAGGAGGAAGCCCCGGCUAACUACGUG